Molecule: ribosomal RNA, 497 nt
Filed under: uncultured bacterium
Lineage: Bacteria
Description: partial 16S ribosomal RNA
Rfam family: Bacterial small subunit ribosomal RNA
Source: RNAcentral
GAUGAACGCUGGCGGCGUGCCUAAUACAUGCAAGUCGAGCGAACGGACGAGAAGCUUGCUUCUCUGAUGUUAGCGGCGGACGGGUGAGUAACACGUGGAUAACCUACCUAUAAGACUGGGAUAACUUCGGGAAACCGGAGCUAAUACCGGAUAAUAUCCUGAACCGCAUGGUUCAAAAGUGAAAGACGGUCUUUCUGUCACUUAUAGAUGGAUCCGCGCUGCAUUAGCUAGUUGGUAGGGUAACGGCUUACCAAGGCAACGAUGCAUAGCCGACCUGAGAGGCGGGUCGGCCACCUGGGAACUGAGACACGGACCAGGCUCCUGCGGGAGGCAGCAGUAGGGAAUCUUCCGCAAUGGGCGAAAGCCUGACGGAGCAAGGCCGAGUGAGUGAUGAAGAUCUUCGGAUCGUAAAACUCUGUUAUUAGGGAAGAACAUAUGUGUACGUAACUGUGCACAUCUUGACGGUACCUAAUCAGAAAGCCACGGCUAACUACGUG